CACAGUCUUGCCUAUGCCAAAGAACUCAGAGAUUUCUGGCACACCCACGGCCCCCUCCAGGUCCUGCUUAUUGGCCAUGACCAGCAGGGGUGCCUCAGCCAGCUGCGAGCUGCUGCGCAUGCGGUCAAAGGCAGCCUUGCUUUCUGCAAAGCGGGCUGGGUUGGCAGCAUCCACAACGUAGAUGACGGCAUGGGAUUCAGCAUAGUACUUGUCCCAAAUUGACUGCAGAGCGGGUUGCCCACCCAGGUCCCACAGCACAAUGCUCUGGCCCUUGGCAUCCAGCCUGCCCACGUUCAGGCCCACCGUGGGCAGGAUCUUGCCUGGGUCCAGGCCCACCAGCGUGGUGUACAUGGUCUUCAGGUGCUCCAGC
Molecule: long non-coding RNA, 370 nt
Filed under: Dunaliella salina
Lineage: Eukaryota; Viridiplantae; Chlorophyta; Chlorophyceae; Chlamydomonadales; Dunaliellaceae
Description: long non-coding RNA (DSAL_LNC000192)
Source: RNAcentral